GAUGAACGCUAGCGGCAGGCCUAACACAUGCAAGUCGAGGGGUAGCAGGAUUAAGCUUGCUUAAUUGCUGACGACCGGCGCACGGGUGCGUAACGCGUAUGCAACCUACCUUAUACUGGGGUAUAGCCCGGAGAAAUUCGGAUUAAUCCCCCAUAGUACUAAUGAAUCGCAUGGUUUAUUAGUUAAAGCAUUGCGGUAUAAGAUGGGCAUGCGUCCUAUUAGCUAGAUGGUGAGGUAACGGCUCACCAUGGCUACGAUAGGUAGGGGGCCUGGGAGGGUGGUCCCCCACCAUGGUACUGAAACACGGACCAGACUCCUACGGGAGGCAGCAGUGAGGAAUAUUGGUUAAUGGGCGCAAGCCUGAACCAGCCAUGCCGCGUGCAGGAAGAAUGCCCUAUGGGUUGUAAACUGCUUUUAUUUGGGAAUAAACCCCUUUACGUGUAGAGAGCUGAAGGUACCAAAUGAAUAAGCACCGGCUAACUCCGUGCCAGCCGCCGCCGUAA
This 503-nucleotide ribosomal RNA is filed under the name uncultured bacterium. RNAcentral's name for it is "partial 16S ribosomal RNA". It matches the Rfam family "Bacterial small subunit ribosomal RNA", at positions 28 to 523 of the family's 1533-position model. The record is from RNAcentral.